AUUGAACGCUGGCGGCAGGCCUAACACAUGCAAGUCGAACGAGUGGCGGACGGGUUACUUAUGUCUGGGAAACUGCCUGGUGGAUGGGGUUCACUACUGGAAACUGUAACUACUUCCGCCUACCAUCAGCUGUGCCCAGAUGGGAUGAGCUUGUUGUUGGGGUAACGGCUAACCACGGCGACGAUCCCUAGCUGGUCUGAGAGGAUGACCAGCCACACUGGAACUGAGACACGGUCCAGACUCCUACGGGAGGCAGCAGUGGGGAAUAUUGCACAAUGGGCGAAAGCCUGAUGCAGCCAUGCCGCGUGUAUGAAGAAGGUCUUCGGGUUGUAAAGUACUUUCAGCGGGGAGGCGUUACCAGCAGAAGAAGCACCGGCUAACUCCGUGCCAGCAGCCGCGGUAAUUC
This 406-nucleotide ribosomal RNA is filed under the name uncultured bacterium. Its description in RNAcentral is "partial 16S ribosomal RNA". It matches the Rfam family "Bacterial small subunit ribosomal RNA", at positions 30 to 526 of the family's 1533-position model. The record is from RNAcentral.